UACUUAGUGGCAGACGGGUGAGUAACAUGUGGGUAUCUACCCUUUGGCCUGGAAUAACACGAGGAAACUUGUGCUAAUACCGGAUAAGUCUUUACGGAGAAAGCUUUAUGCACCAUUGGAUGAGCCCGCACUUGAUUAGUUUGUUGGUAGGGUAAUGGCCUACCAAGACUAUGAUCAAUAGCUGAUUUGAGAGGAUGAUCAGCCACAUUGGGACUGAGACACGGCCCAAACUCCUACGGGAGGCAGCAGUGGGGAAUCUUGCACAAUGGAGGAAACUCUGAUGCAGCGAUGCCGCGUGAGUGAAGAAGGCCUUUGGGUUGUAAAGCUCUUUCGUCGGGGAAGAAAAUGACUGUACCCGAAUAAGAAGGUCCGGCUAACUUCGUGCCAGCAGCCGCGGUAAUACGAAGGGACCUAGCGUAGUUCGGAAUUACUGGGCUUAAAGAGUUCGUAGGUGGUUGAAAAAGUUGGUGGUGAAAUCCCAGAGCUUAACUCUGGAACUGCCAUCAAAACUUUUCAGCUAGAGUAUGAUAGAGGAAAGCAGAAUUUCUAGUGUAGAGGUGAAAUUCGUA
This 569-nucleotide ribosomal RNA is filed under the name uncultured Pelagibacterales bacterium. RNAcentral's name for it is "bacterial SSU rRNA". It matches the Rfam family "Bacterial small subunit ribosomal RNA", at positions 89 to 692 of the family's 1533-position model. The record is from RNAcentral. Lineage: Bacteria; Pseudomonadati; Pseudomonadota; Alphaproteobacteria; Candidatus Pelagibacterales.